CGCGUUGGGCACGGAGGUCAGAUGGGCCUGCCGUGGUAAGUAGCCUGGAAGGCCGCGAUUGGUGGAACACGUUAUCGCGUUGGGCACGGUGGGUCUGAUUGACCCGCCGUGGUAAAUAGCCUGGAAGGCCGCGAUUGUUCCAAGAAAAAAAGAAUCGCGUUGGGCACGGAGGUCAGAUGGGCCUGCCGUGGUAAGUAGCCUGGAAGGCCGCGAUUGGUGGAACACGUUAUCGCGUUGGGCACGGUGGGUCUGAUUGACCCGCCGUGGUAAAUAGCCUGAAAGGCCGCGAUUGUUCCAAGAAAAAAAAGAAUCGCGUUGGGCACGGAGGUCUGAUUGACCUGCCGUGGUAAAUAGCCUGGAAGGCCGCGAUUGUUCCAAGAAAAAGAAUCGCGUUGGGUACGGAGGUCAGAUGGGCCUGCCGUGGUAAGUAGCCUGGAAGGCCGCGAUUAGUGGAAUAUUUUAUCGCGUUGGGCACGGUGGGUCAGAUGAGCCCACCGUGGUAAAUAGCCUGAAAGGCCGCGAUUGUUAUAAGAUAAGAUUGAGUUGCGUGGGCACGGUAGGCCGGUUUGACGUGGUAAUCUGAAAUGCCGCUAUUGUUGUUACUAUUUUAGCUAUAAACUAUAAAGCUGUGAUAGGAUGUUAUUGAUACGCUAAGCAGUGAACUUUUAAGCGUAAACUUGGGCUAGAAGGUAGCGAAGAAUUGCGUUUCGAGGAAAUGUGUUAGAAUUAUGAGAACAAGCAUAGUUGUAUAAAGAAGGAACCAAAAACAGCGAGAGGGAAAUAGAGAGGAAGAUAGAGAGAAAUGUAGGGAGAGUGAAAUGUAGAAAUAGCGAUAGACAAAGGUAGAGAGAGAGAUAGACAAAGGUAGAGAGAGAGAUAGACAAAGGUAGAGAGAGAGAUAGACAAAGGUAGAGAGAGAGAUAGACAAAGGUAGAGAGAGAGAAUGGAAGAUAGAGAGAGAGAUAGAGAAAGGUAGAAAGAGAGAGAGAAAAGCUAGAUAGAGAAAUGUAGAUAGAGAGAGAACGAGAGAGAGAGAGAGAGAGAGAAAUGUAGAUUGGCAGCAAUAUUUGGGUGUCCGAUUAUGUAUGUUUACAUUCCCGCAGUAGUAAUUUUUUUUGAUCUUUUAAGAGAUUGAUGAUGUUUAUCUGAUGCUGUUUAUUUAAUCUUGUAUAACUGAGAGUUUGAGAGAAAUAUUUGAUAGGUUUGAAUAUCGC
This is a long non-coding RNA of Culex pipiens pallens (northern house mosquito), 1214 nucleotides long. RefSeq lists it as uncharacterized. Lineage: Eukaryota; Metazoa; Arthropoda; Insecta; Diptera; Culicidae. The record is from RefSeq and is a predicted model, not a curated record. The transcript is spliced from 3 exons.